UGGGGAAUUUUGGACAAUGGGCGAAAGCCUGAUCCAGCAAUGCCGCGUGUGUGAGGAAGGCCUUCGGGUUGUAAAGCACUUUUGUCCGGAAAGAAAUCCUUGGCUCUAAUACAGUCGGGGGGAUGACGGUACCGGAAGAAUAAGCACCGGCUAACUACGUGCCAGCAGCCGCGGUAAUACGUAGGGUGCAAGCGUUAAUCGGAAUUACUGGGCGUAAAGCGUGCGCAGGCGGUUUGCUAAGACCGAUGUGAAAUCCCCGGGCUCAACCUGGGAACUGCAUUGGUGACUGGCAGGCUAGAGUAUGGCAGAGGGGGGUAGAAUUCCACGUGUAGCAGUGAAAUGCGUAGAGAUGUGGAGGAAUACCGAUGGCGAAGGCAGCCCCCCUGGGCCAAUACUGACGCUCAUGCACGAAAGCGUGGGGAGCAAACAGGAUUAGAUACCCUGGUAGUCCACGCCCUAAACGAUGUCACUAGUUGUUGGGGAUUCAUUUCCUAGUACGUAGCUAACGCGUGAAGUUGACCGCCUGGGGAGUACGGUCGCAAGAUUAAACUUAAUGAAUUGACGGGGUCAUAGCUGUUUCCU
Molecule: ribosomal RNA, 582 nt
Filed under: uncultured bacterium
Lineage: Bacteria
Description: partial 16S ribosomal RNA
Rfam family: Bacterial small subunit ribosomal RNA
Source: RNAcentral